Molecule: ribosomal RNA, 253 nt
Filed under: Blastocatellaceae bacterium
Lineage: Bacteria; Pseudomonadati; Acidobacteriota; Blastocatellia; Blastocatellales; Blastocatellaceae
Also listed under: 2 other names
Description: partial 16S ribosomal RNA
Rfam family: Bacterial small subunit ribosomal RNA
Source: RNAcentral
UACGUAGGGACCAAGCGUUGUUCGGAUUUACUGGGCGUAAAGGGCGCGUAGGCGGCAAUUCAAGUCAGCUGUGAAAUCUCUGGGCUUAACCCAGAACGGCCAGCUGAUACUGCUUUGCUAGAGUGCAGAAGGGGCAAUCGGAAUUCUCGGUGUAGCGGUGAAAUGCGUAGAUAUCGAGAGGAACACCUGAGGUGAAGACGGGUUGCUGGGCUGACACUGACGCUGAGGCGCGAAAGCCAGGGGAGCAAACGGG